This 157-nucleotide ribosomal RNA is filed under the name Balneicella halophila. The record is from RNAcentral. Lineage: Bacteria; Pseudomonadati; Bacteroidota; Bacteroidia; Bacteroidales; Balneicellaceae.
UAAGGUGUUUAUUGCAAUGAGGUACACCUCUUCCCAUUCCGAACAGAGAAGUUAAGCUCAUUAGCGCCGAUGGUACUGCAGCAAUGUGGGAGAGUAGGACGACGCCCUAUUUUCAGCGAGGCUAAUUCCAAUUAGGAGUUAGCCUCGCUUUGUUUUU